ACUCCUAUCUUAAAAACAACGCUCUUGUAUAUUGCAUGAUUGAUCUGUUUGAAAUUACUUUUUUUUUUCUUUACUGCGGUGGCCCUCAGUGAGCCUGUGUUAGUUUUUACUAUCUUAACCACUUCAAAAAGUUGCAAAGGAAACAAUAGUUUAAUUUAUAUAGCCUAAUCUCGAGCAUGAUUAUUAAUAACGAGUGAAAACAGCAGAUUCGGUUUUUAUUAAUUCUUAUAACAGCAAGGUUAAAGCGCGAGAAACAAAUGUUGAACAGGGACGCUUGCAUCCACGCAGACCUCUUGCAUGUGUGUUGCGUAGCUGGAGGGAUUUACGGGGACUUAAUUCCUUAAAACUGUCCUCUCGUCCACAUGACGCUCAAACUGCAAGUGCUCAAGCUGAUCUAUCCUAAUGUAUCAAGAGAUGAGUGCGUCGCAUUGCCAUGGGGCUAGAUUAGGGCCUGUUAUAAGACAUGUAGAAUACACGUGGAACCAGUGUGGAGAAGCGCAACGAGGAGGUGAAUUGUGCACCUUUAAAAAUGUUAAAAACAACAUGUUGCCAAUAUUCACUUCGAGAAUUCUCUUUCGGGAUUCAUCUGUGUGGGAGGAAAGCCGACUGUAUCAUAACAGCUUAAGUCUACACAUUUUAAGAUAUCUUGAGAAGAGGAGAAGCUGACGGAUGACUCGAGAUGCACGGACAAAUACACGACGAUGCAGAAAACAACAACAACACAACAAAACUUUUACACUUCCAGACCGGAUGGAAAGCUUCAGCUGUGCACCUGCUAUCGUGGAAUGCUCUGGAGAUGAUGACAGCCACCAUUAGCCUGGUCCAGAGGUUUUGCAAGCACUGGUGGACAAAAGCAAAAUGGAUGUUAUGUGAAUGUUUGGAGCAGCUCAGUAGGAUCAGUUUCUUCAGUUUUAUUAAACAACUGAAGAUUGGAACUUUUUUAGGUUGUUUUCCAAUGUUGCAGUUACUCUGAAAGUGUUUGAUUGAUAAAAAAGGACUUUGUUGAUAGCCUACAUUUAAAUGAAUGUUUGACUUAACUAUAUCCUCCGGUAUUACAUAGGCCUAUAUUGUGAUUUUUGUUUUUCAUUUUAAGGUUCUAAAUUUAGAGAUCCGACAAGGCUGAAUGGACAUAAUUUAUCAUGAUACAUUACAAAUGAACUUGCGUUAAAAUUUUCCUAAAUGUUUCUCUGAUUUGACAUAAUUGUGACAGUGUUUAAAAGCGAUAACAGAGUCAAUUUUGAUGAGAGGAAUGCAUAUUUGCACAAAGUAAUUACUAUGAAUAAAAGAGCUUGUUUGA
Molecule: long non-coding RNA, 1297 nt
Organism: Carassius gibelio (silver crucian carp)
Lineage: Eukaryota; Metazoa; Chordata; Actinopteri; Cypriniformes; Cyprinidae
Exons: 3
Source: RefSeq, a predicted model, not a curated record